Molecule: ribosomal RNA, 373 nt
Filed under: uncultured organism
Description: partial 16S ribosomal RNA
Rfam family: Bacterial small subunit ribosomal RNA
Source: RNAcentral
GUAGGUGGCAAGCGUUGUCCGGAAUUAUUGGGCGUAAAGCGCGCGCAGGCGGUUCUUUAAGUCUGAUGUGAAAGCCCACGGCUCAACCGUGGAGGGUCAUUGGAAACUGGAGAACUUGAGUACAGAAGAGGGAAGCGGAAUUCCACGUGUAGCGGUGAAAUGCGUAGAGAUGUGGAGGAACACCAGUGGCGAAGGCGGCUUUCUGGUCUGUAACUGACGCUGAGGCGCGAAAGCGUGGGGAGCAAACAGGGAUUAGAUACCCUGGUAGUCCACGCCGUAACCGAUGAGUGCUAAGUGUUAGGGGGUUUCCGCCCCCUUAGUGCUGCAGCUAACGCAUUAAGCACUCCGCCUGGGGAGUACGGCCGCAAGGCUG